GAACGAGAUCUUAACCUGCUAAAUAGGGUAGAAAACGUCUGCUUUUAAACUGCUUCUUAGAAGGACUUUGCGUGUCUAACGCAAGGAAGUUUGAGGCAAUAACAGGUCUGUGAUGCCCUUAGAUGUUCUGGGCUGCACGCGCGCUACAAUGAUGCAUCCAACAAGUUUAUAACCUUGGCUGGUAAGUUUAGGUAAUCUUUUGAAUGUGCGUCGUGAUGGGGAUAGAUCAUUGC
This 233-nucleotide ribosomal RNA is filed under the name Hepatozoon tuatarae. RNAcentral's name for it is "partial 18S small subunit ribosomal RNA". It matches the Rfam family "Eukaryotic small subunit ribosomal RNA", at positions 1333 to 1587 of the family's 1831-position model. Lineage: Eukaryota; Apicomplexa; Hepatozoidae. The record is from RNAcentral.